This is a non-coding RNA of Procambarus clarkii (red swamp crayfish), 470 nucleotides long. Lineage: Eukaryota; Metazoa; Arthropoda; Malacostraca; Decapoda; Cambaridae. The record is from RefSeq and is a predicted model, not a curated record.
CUGACUUGCUUUUUAUUUCCAUUUGCCUCAUGUUAUCAAAAGCAUAUAUGAAACAGCAGUUAGGAACACACAUUCUAACUGGUAGUAGAAAUGCUGGUAUAGUGUUUGUGAAAUGACUAAUUCAUUUUCAUUUUUUCAAAUACUAUUAGACAGUAAAUUAUUACAAUUUUGAUUUUUAGUGAUAUAAGGAAGGUUGUGUGGACCAACAUUUCUUCAAAAGAUCUAUAUUUUGCCUUGCAAACCUUAAUGCAGUAUUGGUAUACUCCAAAUUGGUAAUGACCCAUGAGAUGCUUCUGAAUUUGAUCUUAACUUUAAAUUGCUCAAGUAUUUUCUAUCUUGUAUUAAUCAGUGGUUGUAAAUAUCAUCAUGUGAUGCAUCUGUUGCUGAAAGAGGCACAUUGAUUAGAAAUAGUCAUAGAAAUAGAAAAUAUUCUCUUGAACUAUAAUUCCAAUAAAAGUCAUUACUUCAUA